Molecule: ribosomal RNA, 240 nt
Filed under: Staphylococcus epidermidis
Lineage: Bacteria; Bacillati; Bacillota; Bacilli; Caryophanales; Staphylococcaceae
Description: partial 16S ribosomal RNA
Rfam family: Bacterial small subunit ribosomal RNA
Source: RNAcentral
ACGAUGCGUAGCCGACCUGAGAGGGUGAUCGGCCACACUGGAACUGAGACACGGUCCAGACUCCUACGGGAGGCAGCAGUAGGGAAUCUUCCGCAAUGGGCGAAAGCCUGACGGAGCAACGCCGCGUGAGUGAUGAAGGUCUUCGGAUCGUAAAACUCUGUUAUUAGGGAAGAACAAAUGUGUAAGUAACUAUGCACGUCUUGACGGUACCUAAUCAGAAAGCCACGGCUAACUACGUGC